ACUCCUACGGAAGGCAGCAGUGGGGAAUAUUGCACAAUGGGCGCAAGCCUGAUGCAGCAACGCCGCGUGAGGGACGACGGCCUUCGGGUUGUAAACCUCUUUUAGCAGGGAAGAAGCGAAAGUGACGGUACCUGCAGAAAAAGCACCGGCUAACUACGUGCCAGCAGCCGCGGUAAU
RNAcentral lists this ribosomal RNA (177 nucleotides) under uncultured bacterium. RNAcentral's name for it is "partial 16S ribosomal RNA". It matches the Rfam family "Bacterial small subunit ribosomal RNA", at positions 335 to 524 of the family's 1533-position model. The record is from RNAcentral.